Long non-coding RNA from Globicephala melas (long-finned pilot whale), 4227 nucleotides. RefSeq lists it as uncharacterized. Lineage: Eukaryota; Metazoa; Chordata; Mammalia; Artiodactyla; Delphinidae. The record is from RefSeq and is a predicted model, not a curated record.
GCUCAGUUAAGCUUACCUAAUGGUGGCAAUGCACUGGAAAUGGACUUAAACUGGUGCUAAACUUGGCUUACGGAUAGUAGACACCAUUAAUAUAAGGCUUCAGUUAUACAGAAUGAGGCAGCAAGGUGUGGGAUAAGAGAUUUGGGAUCAAAUGUCAGCUUUUCUACUUUCUAGGUAUGUGGCUUUGGGCAAGUCACAUCUCUCUGAAAUUCAGUAUUAUGAUCUUUGAAAUGAAGACAUGCCUUUCCUGGAAGGUUGCCGAUAGGACUAGCAAUAAUGGUCUGCACCUAAGGGUCUGCUGGGCCCACAUUAUGUGAUAACACUUAAGGAAAGACUUGUCCUAUUGUUCAAAUAUGGCCAACUUAAACAUCAAGGAUGUUCCCAUAACAGUCCUUCCUGUGUGCUUUGCCAGUUGAAAAUUUAAACGGGAGAUAUAUCAUUUUUUAAACUGUUUUCCUUUAAAGAAGAUUAUGAAAAUAGUAUGCUGGAGGACUGUAGUCAGACUGAAGGUCUGGGGAAUAGAUGGGACUAGAUCAUAAAAAAGAAGUGAUAGAAAGGGGGAUGGAUUUCUGUGGUGAGGGGAAGGGGUCAGAGAUUACUUGGAGAUUUCCAGCCUGGGAGCUGGGAGGUGAUGCCAUUUACUGAAAUAUGAAAUCAAUCAAGAGGAAAACAGAAGGUGAAGGAUAGGCUUAGAUGGUGGGGUAGGAGAAGAAUUUGGUUUGGACUUACGUUUGAGGAAACCCAGGGGGAGGUGUUGACUAGAUUGUUGGAAAGAGAGUUCUGGUAGACGAGAUUACCUGGGAAGGGAACCAAGGGCAGGGCUUUGGGGGCCUCAAGAAUUAAGGAUGCAGGGAGAGGAGGAGGGGGACUCAGCAAAAGUUCGUAAGGAGAAAAAGGCCCAUAGCUUAGAACAGUGGUUCCUAAGCCUGAGAGCUUGUGAAAACACCAAUUUUGGGGCCCCACCCCCAGAGUUUGAUUUGGGUAGGGCCUGAGAAUUUGCAUUGCUAAUAGGUUCCCAUGGGACGCUGAUGAUGCUGACCCAGGAACCACACUUUGAGAACCAAUGGUUAGAAUGUCUGCUAGAAGACCUGGAGAAAGCUGAAAAGCUUCUUACCCAGUGUCGGUCCACCAACAUCCUUCACCUGGAUUCAUGCAGAGGUCUCUCUGCUCGUCUUCCUUCUGCAAGUCUUGCCCACUCCUUCCUCCGCCAAUUCAUUCUCAGUGCUGCGGGAGUCCUCUUUCUAAGACAGAGAUUGACUGUUGAUCAAUUUUCGUUGAUACGGUGAUGGCCAACCCCUGACUUCAUGGCCAGUCAACAGGCAGCUCUGGGAUAUGGACGGUCGGCAGUGCUGGCUAGUAGGUGUCACACCCUUCUGACGGAUUUUUCAUUCAUUAAAUACUUCGAGUACACACUAAGCUCUCUGCUGGACACAGGCUAUGAGGUCAAAGAGACUAUAUUUCAACCAACUGCCAAUCAAACAGGACUGGAUAACUUCCAAGCGGCACGGCUACUAACCCAUUACUCACAUGGACAGAGAGCUGGGACUCCUGAGAAGUUUGCAUUGUGGGUCAGCUCUAGCUAAACGCAACCUAUUCAGCUGAGACUCUAAUGAAAACAGUGGCACAGGAAAAGGCCUAAGGGCCGGGCAGCUUGAGGACAGGUCUGGCUCAGUCCCACACCUUGAGAAAAUGAGAACUGGCCCAAGAAGGCACUAGUAAUCAAGUCUGCUGUUUUGUACAAAUUCUCUCAGCUGUUUGAUCCUCAUCUUAUUAUUUUCUCAACUAUGAAAUAAAGCAAAGAGCCUUCAUGAUUGAUGGCUCCUGUCUCAGGAGGCUCAGCCUUCUGUGCAGGCAGGGACCUAUGCAAUGCAAUGUGAGAAUUCAAAGACGAUGGUGAGAAUUCCACCAUCCACUUCCCACUUCCAACCUGCCUUCAAUUCUGGUCUACUCUGCUGCCUAUAACACCACCGUUACUGAUAUGUAGGGCUCUGGUGUGCUACUACUGGUCCCUUUAAAAUGCAAAUCUAUGUCAAGUCCCUUGUAUCUUACUGCGGAUAUCAAUAAUCCUCUGGUGGGACUGAUACAAGUGUGAGAUAACCACACCUUAGGGGGCCUAAACAGACCGAAACUGAGCUAAUAUGUAGCCACUAGUUAACAUCGGCUACUGAACACUUGAAAGGUGUUCAAAUGGAGUCCAAAUUGAGGUGUGCUGUCAGUAUAAAAUACCAGAUUUUGAAGAUUUACUUUAAAAGACUCAUUGAUUUCGUAAAUUGAUUACAAAGAUAUUUUGGAUCUAUUGGGCCAAAUCAAAUGUUAUUAAAAUCAUUUCACCUGUUAUUUUAUUGUUUUUAAACGUGGCUACUAGAAAAUUUUAAAUCACAUAAUAUGGCUUGUACUUGUGGCUCGUACCGUAUUUCCCUUGGAUGGGGCUGGUCGAAGACUAGACUGUUCGAUGUGGUCCAUUUUGGUGACGAUCUAGGCUGGCACUCUCCCCAUGGGCCUGGAGUACCCCUCCUUUGCUUCUCUAUCCUUCCUCCUGCCUGUUAUCUUCCAGACUUCAGCGCUCUUGUUUUGCAAACAAGAAAAUUCCCCCAGAGAGAUCAAAGGAAUCGCCCACGUCCUACAGGGAAGCUCACACAGUCCAGUGGCCAUGAGAUUUAAAGGGCACUGAGCACAGAAGUUGCCAAGCCCUUGGAAGGUACAGACAAGAAAGAGUACCUGGAAGUGAGGCCGGCUGACUCUCACCUAAAGGAGACUAAACAAAAGAGGUCUGAGUGGUACAAGAAGGUUUCUAAUCCCAGCCCCUGAUUACAAGGAAGUAUAUGAGUUGCCUAUAAAUAAGUUGUAUUACAAAACCGCCAGGAAGUGAGCUAGCUUGUUAGGGCCCUCUGUUUACUACUUAUAACUUGAGGGAAUUUCCAAAUCUCCAAUUAUUAGUUUGGGGAAACAGGAGAACUUUUUCUCUGUGAGAGAGCCUACUCAGAACCCAUUGUGUAAUUGUCGAAAAUAAACAAUACUUUAUAAUGGGCUGGAAAUGCUCCAGCAGUCCUUGACCUAAGCCCCAGGCCCCAGCCCAAAGAGCAGACGCUGGUUCUGUCUUACCCAAUCGGGAUGAUGGCCAGGAAGGAGAGAAAGGAGGAGAGGGCAAAGCAGGUGCCCACGAACUUCUCCAUGGUGAGCUGGUAGAUCUUGUUGUACAUGGUGGAUGUCACCACCCCGGUCAGAGCCAGGGACAGCUGCAGGAUGACAAACACCUUUCCUGUGGAAGGGACCGAGGUUACCAAGGUUACUAAGCUGUCCCUCCAUGUUCCCUGAGAGCUGAGUCUCCGGGGGGUUCUCAGGAGACCCCUCCCCCUCCCCAGACUCCCUCUGUCUCCCUGGCUCAUUUUGCAGGAUCCUUGCCUCCACCCAGCUGACUCUUCCCGUGGCCCCUGGACGGUAGUAUCUCCCUUUGACCGUGGCUUUUCAGCGGCUGACUUUCCGAGUCUUUCCCACCCUCCUGCUCUCACUCGCUCCACUCUGGUUGGACACCAGUGUGUUUCUAGUGUCUUCAAGGCUGCUUCUGGAACUCUCUCCUGUGCCUUCUGCCAGUCCAAACCCUGUGCCUCAAGCCGACUGGCUCUGAAACCGUCCACACAGAGAGAACCUCCGAGAAAUUCCUUUCACUCACCAUAAGAGGAGCCCUUGAUGAGCUUGGACAUUGCCGAUCGGAUGGUUGUGAUGGGGAUGAGAGCGAACAGCAUGACGGCCCGAGCUGGAAAGGAAUCACGGGAGAACACUCCUCACUGUAGCCCAGCCUUGGCCAAAGAGUAAAUUAGAAUAGAGCAAAGGCCUCCCCUACCCCCUCUCCCACAAUCCUAUGUGGCCUUGAAGAAAUGGUUUCUCUCCUGGCAGACUAGGACCCCCCCCCACCUCCUCCCCCUGCCCCGGGCAGGCUGAUUCUCCCAGCACAUUGCUGCAGACCCGUCUGCAAGGUGCCAAGCACAGUGGUGACAGAGGGUGAAGGGUGUCUUUAUUGGUAGAGUUGUUUCUAGGGAAGUGGAGCUGAUGUCACUCAGAACUCCUUGCCUCCUGGGAGAGAGGUGUCUGCGCUUGCCGUUCAUCGUCACCUCUGGGAGAUGGUCCCAGGAGCUUUGGCAGACUGCAUCUAGAAAUGUGUGCCACUAACUCACCUGCCACACACCCCUCCUUCCCUCAAGCCCUGUUCAUUAUCCCUUGGCGGGUGUG